CUUCGGCUUCCGAACUGGCCUUGAUAAAAAUGUCUGCCUAACAGCGCAAACACUGCUGUGCCAGUGCAGCACUGUCAACUGGAAAACGUCAAUGAACCAUUCUAACAAUGCCAACCACUUGGAGCCAAGUUUCCUGACCCAGGCUGUUAUGGCCACACCCAGUUCCACCUGGUCCCUGAUAGGUAUCGCAGGGACAAAAUGGCUUAACUGAAUCUGACUGACCAGAUUGAGGUCUACCUGAGAGCUCAUGGCAUUGCCAGUCUAUUCACAUGGACAGGAGCACAAGCCAUGUAUCAUGCUCAACUCCCUGGCCCUGGCAAUGAGACGGAUGCUGUGAACCCCAGGAAUAACUUAUGCUGGGGGACAGACAGUAUUCAUCUGUAUGAAAUGAAGCAUGGUGUUGUGGUUCGGCUGGAUGACAGGGUCCUCAAGCUCCUGGUCUGGUUCCUAAUGGGCAGGUCAGGUGGACAUGGAGAGAUGGUGUAUGCAGGGUGAAAUACGUGUUUUUGUUGAAUUGUUUCCAUCUGGAUUCAACAGUGGCAAAUGUCAAUUCAUGUACACUGAACAUGUGUGUGUAUCUCUGGUAUGAUCUGGCAGAAUGUAUUCAUGUGGAAAGUAAAAACAGUUGCAUACAGGGUUGAUUGGUGUCCAUACCACUAAGGACCUAUCAUGGUUCAAACACACCAACAUAGUUGUGAAGUGGCCACAACAAUGCCUCUUCCCCCUCAGGAGGCUGAAAAGAUUUGGCAUGGGCCCCUCAGUUAUUCAAAAAGUUAUACAGCAGCACCAUGGUGAGCAUCUUGACUGGCUGCAUCACCUCUUGGUAUGGCAACUGCUUGGCAUCUGACCGCAAGGCGCUGUGGGGGGUUGUGCGUGCCUACGGCCCAGUACAUCACGGGUUGAGCUCCCUGCCAUCCAGGACCUCUAUACCAGGCUGUUUCAAUGGGGAAAGAUUGGCUCGUACCCCGCUUCAGUAAUUAUUGUUGAAAACCCUGCUUCCGGUGUUCUGCUGUUUUGCCACGAGGUGUCGCUUAGUCAAUGUGGACAAACGGCACAACCACAGAUGGAACAAGGAGACUGAUGUUUCACCGGAUGUAUAAAUCUGAAGCAUCCGGUUGGAAUUUCCACCCCUCACCAAAUAUGGUGAGGAGAGGAAGCCCAGUGGGAGAGUAUGGAGCGAGAUGGAACUGGGCUGGCGUUCUGCGGAUUUUUCUCAUAGAAGAAGAAAAGCCCGAUCUCAAUUAGUUAUCUUUUCCCAAAACUAGAAUCUGUUACAGAGUGCAAUAAGUUUUGUAGAUGUGACCCUUUGCCAAAGUUCCCUAAUGGAAAUAUGCAAAUAAAUGCUAGAACGCACCAAUAGGA
This is a long non-coding RNA of Oncorhynchus masou masou (cherry salmon), 1362 nucleotides long. RefSeq lists it as uncharacterized. NCBI's taxonomy places the organism in Eukaryota, Metazoa, Chordata, Actinopteri, Salmoniformes, Salmonidae. The transcript has 3 exons. The record is from RefSeq and is a predicted model, not a curated record.